UAGAAAUCCAGGACAACGCCACUCGCAUCAAAUCCAUAAGGAGCCUGGUAAAAAAGCUCCCUAAACCAAACUAUGACACAAUGAAAAUCCUCUUUGAACACCUAAAGAAGAUAGCAGCCAAGGAAUCCGUGAAUCUUAUGUCAACACAAAGCUUGGGAAUUGUGUUUGGACCAACACUCCUUAGACCCGAAAAGGAGACAGGGAACAUGGCAGUCCACAUGCUGUACCAAAAUCAGAUAGUUGAACUUAUGUUGAGUGAGUACAGCAAGAUCUUCGGCUCUGAGGAAGACUGACAGACAGGGCCUGUUAUUGAAAACGUUCACAUCUGUCUUGAUGUCUAAUAUUUUUACAUUUCUGUAAACAUAUUUCUGAAAUAUUUCUUUUUCCUUCAAGUGACAGAUGCCUCAUUUUGUGAAAACUUAAUGAUGAUUUUGUGUUUAAUUUUCAAACAUUGGAAUAAAAAAUACUGUCAACAUUUGCCUAUAUGUAUUCUGCAUUAACCCUUUGAGAGUUUCAUUAUGCUAGCACUCCAAGUGUCACUUUUUUUGCAAGAUGAGCACACAGCAUAUGGCCAAAGACCAUAGAAAAUGCUGUUUACCAACAUAUGCAAUGUCACAAAAAGACAAAUAGUAACUGAGGAGAUUUGUGGGAAAUGGAUUAAAAUAUGUAUAUUAAAGGCAGUGAAUUAAAACAGCGAUACCAGAUCGUUUGUAGCUAAUUUGAGUAUAAUUUACCUCUCUCUUUGAUACAUAUUGAAAGUUAAAGUCAUGAUGAAUAAUCAAUUUGCCUACCCCAAGAGUUCAAAAAAAAAGAUUAUAUAUUUAAUACUUUUAAGCAAAUUAAAAAAAAAAAAAACAAACACCACCAGAAUGUCACUAUUUGCAUAACAGUGCCUAAAAAAAUUAAAAACAAAAUUGUAACUUUGGCAUUUUCACUUAAGUGCAGUACAUGAAAUGAAGACAUUGCAUGACUGCUCAUUUUAAUGUAACAUCCAUUUUGAUUCUUCAUCACACUGUACAUCUGCCCGCUUUCCCCAGCUAUCUCAUGUUCUGUAGCAUUUGUAUUGUGCUCCUGAGGAUGCUUUAUUGGUGAACUACAUUAAAUUCAUCUAGAAAGAACUUUAAAAAAAAGCUUUUUCAUAUGCCCUUAGGAUUACUUGGCUAGACUUGAAUCAAUUUAUGCAUUUGAUGGUUAGUUUCAGUUGUCAUGGAUAAACAAAAGGGUAACUGUCUAGAAUAUAUCAAAUAUUGUUUCAUUUUGAAAUGUAUGUUUCCAGCUAUACACAUCCUCUACCCUGUUUUGUAAAAGUAUUCUGCUGAUAAAAUGUGGACUUAUGUUUGACAGCUUUUUAAUCAAGUUCAAAGAGAAUAAAUAAAACUAAUCCAGUGUGGUAAA
Pterocles gutturalis (yellow-throated sandgrouse) is the source of this 1395-nucleotide long non-coding RNA. RefSeq lists it as uncharacterized. The transcript has 2 exons. NCBI's taxonomy places the organism in Eukaryota, Metazoa, Chordata, Aves, Pterocliformes, Pteroclidae. The record is from RefSeq and is a predicted model, not a curated record.